This 75-nucleotide transfer RNA is filed under the name Candidatus Gottesmanbacteria bacterium RIFCSPHIGHO2_01_FULL_47_48. RNAcentral describes it as "tRNA-Val". It matches the Rfam family "tRNA". Rfam says of the family: Transfer RNA (tRNA) molecules are approximately 80 nucleotides in length. Their secondary structure includes four short double-helical elements and three loops (D, anti-codon, and T loops). The record is from RNAcentral. Lineage: Bacteria; Candidatus Gottesmaniibacteriota.
GGUCGCUUGGCUCAGUGGUAGAGCGCUUCGUUCACAUCGAAGAGGUCGAAGGUUCAAUCCCUUCAGCGACCACCA